RNAcentral lists this ribosomal RNA (313 nucleotides) under uncultured bacterium. RNAcentral's name for it is "bacterial SSU rRNA". It matches the Rfam family "Bacterial small subunit ribosomal RNA", at positions 28 to 342 of the family's 1533-position model. The record is from RNAcentral.
GACGAACGCUGGCGGCGUGCUUAACACAUGCAAGUCGAGCGGUAAGGCCCUUUCGGGGGUACACGAGCGGCGAACGGGUGAGUAACACGUGGGUGACCUGCCCUCAGCUCUGGGAUAAGCCUGGGAAACCGGGUCUAAUACCGGAUAUGACUCCAUGGCGCAUGUUGUGGGGUGGAAAGCCUUGUGCGGCUGAGGAUGGGCCCGCGGCCUAUCAGCUUGUUGGUGGGGUGAUGGCCUACCAAGGCGACGACGGGUAGCCGGCCUGAGAGGGCGACCGGCCACACUGGGACUGAGACACGGCCCAGACUCCUAC